AUUUCAGAAAACACUUUUAAUUCAUAAUCGGCAUAGAUAGAUAGAUAGAUAGAUAGAUAGAUAGAUAGAUAGAUAGAUAGAUAGAUAGAUAGAUAGAUAGAUAGAUAGAUAGGCCUGUACGUGAAGGCUCAUAUAGCCUGUAUCCUUACACUGGUUAGUGAUGAUUCUCGCCCGAGCGCACUGCUGUUAAUAUGACAGGAACGAGCUCAUCCCAGAGAUCUCAGGUUAGACGUUUGAGCCAAAGAUCAGUGAAGAAAUCAAGCACACACAUCCACGAUAAGCGACACUGAACCAGAACGACUCACAGAGCACAGAGGGAGCGGGACAGGUCAGGAGGUUCGGGGGCGGGGUCUCGUCAUUGUUUCCCGCAGAUAAAUGAUUGCAUUCCUAAUUUAGAAAUCAUCGCUCAGAGCAUCAAACUCACUCCAAGACACCGACUCAAUGGAGAGGAUUUUAUAGCCUGUGCUUAAGAUUAAAUUGGGUCCAGAGAGAAGAGCGCGUUUUCUGCUGGACGCAGCGGCUGCGCUGAGCAGCAUCAGGACCUCUCGAGCCGUGCCUGCAGGAGCUGUGCUCGCUCCAUGUGCUCUGACACACACCUCCCUCUGUGACAGCAUCGCUUUCAUCGCCCUCAAGUGCUCGGACAGACGAGAUACCGCCUGUGUGCUGCAGAUGGACCCAUCAGCGUCCAGCCAAUGUCUGCAGAUGAUUCAGUCAGCCAGGAAUGCAGAGGAGCAAAAUCUAGAGGCUUAUAUGAGGAACCUGCAUCUAUUUUUCAGAGCCUUUAAGGAUGUUCCUGAAAACACAGAGCUUUUAGUUUGGUAUGGAAGAGAUCUAACCAAACUGCUUGGCCUCAGCACAGAGCAAAAUAACACUAAAGGUUUGAUUUGCUCUGAAUGCAGACAAGAGUUUUCUCUUUGAAUUCCCUCUGUUGGCACACUAUAGAUUUUUCUGCAUAAAGAAACUACAAGCUUCUUGAAGGAACUCACCCUUCCAAUAAUUUAUUCAGUGAGUAGCAAACCUACCACAAACUUCCACAAUUUAGCACGAGAGCAGGGGAACUGCAAGAAAAACUGUCCUCCAGAUGCAAAGCGCCCUAAAAGAAGACGUUCUCUAGAUUCUGACACAGACGAGAGUGAUGGCGAAGAGAUGGAGAUGAUGAAAAGGUAUUAGUGAAAAGUUUUUGUGUUAAUGGGGUGAAUAGAUGUUCCUGGUCAUCUGCCAGCAAAAAGCCUUUCAGUAAGGGCCAGAAUUCUCAGUGUAGCCAACCACAAUGCCAUGACAACUGCAGGACAGGCCCAGACAACCAGGAUUUAAAAUCUACAACAAGAAGUCUGCAUUCACACCUAGAGUGUCAAAAGAUGUUCAAGGUGACAAGAACAAAAAGAGUGCAUUUAGAAAUGUUUAAAGAGCGUCAUCACCUCUCACGUCAUGUGACCUCUCAUACAUAAGCUCAUGUAAAAACCUUGUAUUUUGUGAUAUUAUGUAUUGUUAUAUAUUUUUGCAUUAGACAAUACCAAUACUAUCAACUGGGAAUGUGGAGGGGCAUCACUUAAUAAACAAAAAUUGUUUUUAAUAACACACUGUAUUUUACUUGUGGUGUG
Cyprinus carpio carpio is the source of this 1601-nucleotide long non-coding RNA. The record is from Ensembl. NCBI's taxonomy places the organism in Eukaryota, Metazoa, Chordata, Actinopteri, Cypriniformes, Cyprinidae.